GACGAACGCUGGCGGCGUGCUUAACACAUGCAAGUCGAACGGUGAAGCGCCUUCCUUUUUGGUGGGUGUGGAUGAGUGGCGAACGGGUGAGUAACACGUGAGUAACCUGCCACCUUCUUCUGGAUAACCGCAUGCAAGUGUGGCUAAUACAGGAUAUUCUGGGUCUGUCGCAUGAUGGGUCUGGGACGGAUUUUGUUUCGGUGGGGGAUGGGCUCGCGGCGCAUUAGCUUGUUGGUGGGGUGAUGGCCUACCAAGGCGGCGAUGAGUAGCCGCCCUGAGAGGAGGGUGGACGGCCAUAGUAGGAAGAAGAGACCGCGCAGACUCCGGGGGGCGGCAGCAGGGGGUAAUACUGCACGGUGGGCGGCAGGAUGGUGCAGCGACGCGUGGGGGGUGAUGGUGUUCGGCGGGUUGUGAACCGCUAUCGGCAGUGAAGCAGGGCGGACUCGAUUGUGGGUGGGUUGACGGUAGCUGGACAAAAAGCGCCGGCUAACUACGUG
Molecule: ribosomal RNA, 497 nt
Filed under: uncultured bacterium
Lineage: Bacteria
Description: partial 16S ribosomal RNA
Rfam family: Bacterial small subunit ribosomal RNA
Source: RNAcentral